AUUGAACGCUGGCGGCAGGCCUAACACAUGCAAGUCGAGCGGAUGAAGGGAGCUUGCUCCUGGAUUCAGCGGCGGACGGGUGAGUAAUGCCUAGGAAUCUGCCUGGUAGUGGGGGAUAACGUCCGGAAACGGGCGCUAAUACCGCAUACGUCCUGAGGGAGAAAGUGGGGGAUCUUCGGACCUCACGCUAUCAGAUGAGCCUAGGUCGGAUUAGCUAGUUGGUGGGGUAAAGGCCUACCAAGGCGACGAUCCGUAACUGGUCUGAGAGGAUGAUCAGUCACACUGGAACUGAGACACGGUCCAGACUCCUAUGGGAGGCAGCAGUGGGGAAUAUUGGACAAUGGGCGCAAGCCUGAUCCAGCCAUGCCGCGUGUGUGAAGAAGGUCUUCGGAUUGUAAAGCACUUUUAGUUGGGAGGAAGGGCAGUAAGUUAAUACCUUGCUGUUUUGACGUUACCCACAGAAUAAGCACCGGCUAACUUCGUG
This 484-nucleotide ribosomal RNA is filed under the name uncultured bacterium. RNAcentral describes it as "partial 16S ribosomal RNA". It matches the Rfam family "Bacterial small subunit ribosomal RNA", at positions 30 to 507 of the family's 1533-position model. The record is from RNAcentral.